RNAcentral lists this long non-coding RNA (1909 nucleotides) under Gallus gallus (chicken). RNAcentral's name for it is "long non-coding RNA NONGGAT009314". The record is from RNAcentral. Lineage: Eukaryota; Metazoa; Chordata; Aves; Galliformes; Phasianidae.
CUCAGCUGUGCCACUGAUGACUGCCCUCAAACAGCCAAACGUGGGACUUCCUUCUGAUGCCAUGUUGCCUUUCACUUACAUCGGAUUGUGAGGGGUUGUUUCAUCGGCAACAAAAGAGUGAAAUGGAAUAAGGAAUAAACAAGAAGCAAGACAAAGCUGUCACUGCAUUUGUUACCAGCUGAAAGAAAAAGAGGCAAAAACCUCCUGCAGCAGAGACUUGAUAAUCACUUUCCCAAACGAUACUGUUAUUGUAAUUGCCAAACUCUUUGUAAAGCAGCAUAUAGCUACAGUCAUUGCAGCGCUGGAAUUGUCCACGAGGACGAACAUGUAGCAUAGAAAAGAAAUAAGGAUGGUACCAUCAGUGAAAAUCUUCAUUAUCGGGAGAGGGUGGAGAAGCUGAGAUCAUCUUCAAAGAGAAAGGAAAGUGCUUCAGGGGCAUUUCUACAUAUUUUCAGGUCAGCGAAAGGGAAUUGUGUUUAUACAUUUUUCUUAGCCUGAAAGAAUUUUAAACAACUAGGAGAAAAUAGGAUGAAAUGGGGAGUUCAAAUGGAAAUCUGCAAGGCUAUCAGUCUUUCCCAGUGUACCACCAAGACAUUGACGCAAUGUCAUCUGGAGCCAGUCUGUUAUAACUGAGGCUUUUGAAACAUAAUGAACUUUGCCAUUUCAAAUUAGUACUGACAAACAAAAUAGCUGACUUAUCUCUACUCAGAAAUUACUCCAAGGAAAGAAAAUGCAGGCAAUUUAGUAGGAGACUUGGUGCUUACAGAAAGUAUUUGUGAUGACAAAUUUGUUAGUGAGACAUCUCUCUGAGUUGAAGUCACAGGUGAAAGGGGAAAUACCCAGAGUAGGGGCCACUCCAGUCUGGGAACCUUUGUGUCACAGAGACAGGCAUGGUUUGAUCAGGGAAUUUCAAGAGAUACAGCAGAAGAGCAGUACUUGGUAUCCCCUCUGCUUCAGAGGCAUCAGUUCAUACUGUGUCCUUGCGUUGUUUUCAAAGCCAGGCAGACAGCAUCCUGACCACACGGAGGGAUGUAGAAGUCUUCAGGAACAACCUCUUAUUCCUUUCAGUCCCUGGAGAAGUUACAGAAAAAGCCACAUCUCACUGCAAAGGAGCUAAAUCUCUUAAUGGAAAAGCCUUCUGUAUAAUGAGUACCUUCAAAACAAAUGUAAAUUCUCACACACCGCUAAUGUCAAAUGAGAAAUUCCUGUGCAGGGCUGAGCCCCAGGUGAGUAACCAACCAUAUUAGCUCGAAGCAUCAGUUGCUGGCAUUUGAAAGGUAUCGGGUGUGUCUGGCCCAUUAUAAAUGACUGUAAACACUUGAACUUCAAACUGAUAAAAGUUUAAGUGUAUAGAUCGUUGCUAAUGGCUGAGCAUUGAAAUAGCAAACUACAUUCUUUAAAGGACUCCACUGUAUCUUUGAAUAUACACAGAAACUCAAAAACUUAACCAAAACAAAAGCUGUGCAAUAUUUCUGGAGUUACACUAACAUCAAGAAACAUCAGAGAUCCCACUGUGCUGAAAUUUAUGGUGGGGCUGACCAAAACUGGUGAUGUAGGAAGGAGACAUUUAGUACAAGCAUGCUGCCUGGACUUCUAAAGUGAACUGCAGAGUACAUGCCUCUCCAGUGGCAAGCCAUCCUAUCUAGUUUAAAGAGGAAUCUCUAGCUGGAAGCCAUUCUUUCUCCAUUCACUAGAUGGACCCAGGCAGCUCCAAAAAGUUGAGAGAAAUUUAUAGUACUUUUAGUGAAGAACAAUUUCUUCCUUGACUAACAUAUCAUAAAAGACAAUGGAGAGAAACCCUAAUGCAACAGCUCCCAGAGGGGGAUGUGAUAAGAGACUGCAGACUGGACCUGUGGAUCCAGAAGGAUGAUGUUUAACCCUCACGUUGAGCACAGUUGCUGGCCGAGCC